UUUCCGUAGGUGAACCUGCGGAAGGAUCAUUAAUGAGUUGUCAUGGGGUUCGAUGCUGGCAGCCAAUUUUUGGAUGCAUGUGCUUGCCCUAACAAUCAUCUUCCAAACACCUGUGCACAUUUUUGAGGGAGUCUUGAGUUGGUUGCCGCUCUUGGGUGAUUUUCUCACAUUCCCUUAAAUCAUUAUACGCUAUUAACAAUGUUGAACGUGCUCUGUGCCGCAAGGCUAUUAAUAUAAUACAACUUUUAACAACGGAUCUCUUGGCUCUCGCAUCGAUGAAGAAGCAGC
Molecule: unclassified non-coding RNA, 288 nt
Filed under: plant metagenome
Description: partial contains small subunit ribosomal RNA, internal transcribed spacer 1, and 5.8S ribosomal RNA
Rfam family: 5.8S ribosomal RNA (bases 241-288)
Source: RNAcentral